CAUGUGAGCGUUUCCUUUCUUGUUCUCAAGUUAUGUAAACAAGAAAAUGUAAUAUUUAACUCAAUUUGGAGUUGUGUGUAAAUUUACAUUUCGCAUUGAGUUUAUUUUCCUUGAUUUUUGUUGAAACAGGUUUUGGGAUAUUAAUAUUUUAGGAUAUAUCAUGCCAAAAUUUUUGAAAUUUAUCUUUCGAAAAUUGGGGCGUGACACAACCGAAGGCAAACGUUGCAAAGUCUACAUUUAACAUAAGACAAACGUUGCAAAGUCUACAUUUAACAUAAGACACGUCUAUUAUUUUCAUAAGAAAUGUCUACCAUUUACAUAAGCGAAAUAAAAGAAAAGUAGACUUUCUGGAAAUAAAAAAUUGUUCUUGAAAUUGAAUCAACCGAAGGUGAAAGUUGCAAAGUCUACAUUUAACAUAAGAUACAACUACUUUUUUCAUAAGAAAUGUCUACCAUUAACAUAAGAGAAAUCAAAGAAGUAGACUUUGUGGAAAUCUAA
This 498-nucleotide long non-coding RNA is filed under the name Fragaria vesca (wild strawberry). Its description in RNAcentral is "long non-coding RNA (FVES_LNC003684)". Lineage: Eukaryota; Viridiplantae; Streptophyta; Magnoliopsida; Rosales; Rosaceae. The record is from RNAcentral.